GAAACUGCAGGGCUCCCACGCAUUUAUAACUGGCAGGGCUGUGAGCGUGGGAAAGUGUGUGAGGCCCUGAAGGAAGGCUAAUUCCUCCUGUGUUUGUCCCUAAAGUCUGGAUCAGCAACACUACCAGAACAAUCCCUUCUUACCCGGCAUUCUGAAAUUCUUUCUGCAUCAGGGAUGAGGAACCUCCAGAAAGCUACCGCUAGGGGUAAUUCCAUCGUAACUGGAAAUGGUGACAGAAAUCACUCUGGAUUCCUGUCUGCAAACAGGAAAAGAAGUCAGGAUGCUGUCUUAUCCUGAGUCAUACCAUUGGUCCAUCUCAUUCAGUAUUGUCUACACUGACUGACAGCAGCUCUGUGGGCUUCAGACCUCAGGCCUCUCCGAGCACUACCUGGAGAUGCUGGGAAUUGAACCUGGGACCUUCUGCAUCCAACAUGCUCUACCACUGGGCUAUGACCCUUCCCAUUUAGAAUGUCCUUUUCUCUCAUUAUUUAUCAUUUGUGUUACUUUUUAAAAAAGAUCUCACAUACACAAAAGUCACUUUGUGCCAUGAAAUUGCAUAUUAGUAAUAGUUGCUAAAUUAAUAAAACUUGCACUAUCAAAAUUAAGGAGUCACUCCCUCUCCGAAUUAUCCCCAGUAGCUGCUGUGUUUAACAAGGUAUCAAGGCAAAGAGACUCAUUCAUUACUAAAGAAGCAAGUCAGCUCUGGGCUUUAUUGGAGUCAUUUUUAUUGGGAGAGUUUUUUCAGCCUGGAAUCAUAAAAUGGUCUGAUCAGAUAACAAAGUGCAAAAAGCUGAAUGGUGUCUGGGAUGAACCUUGAAGGACAAAGUUUAUCUGCUGGAGCAUUUCCUGUGAGCACUUUGAAAUCGGCUUCUUCAAAGCAUGAAUCAACACAGUUCGGCUCCCAACUGAUCAAACAGAUUUGCUGCUUAUCACUGUCGCCACCUCAGUCUUUCAUUUACUUUUACUUAAUAAGCAAAUACAUGUUCAGUGAACAAGAGGGUUACUUCCCAAUAGUGCUUUCUGUAAGAGCCAAAAUAGGUAGUAGUUCAUCUGUCAUCAAAUUCUCCUUGUGGCCCAAUACUGUAGUCCUUCCCUGACCUUCCAAAUACCCAGUAAGGCUGCAAUUCUAUGCAAAUCUUCCUAGAAGCCCCACUGCACACAAUGGGUCUUACUUUUAAUAGAUGUGCAUGGGAUUAUUCUGUAUUGAUAUAUGCAUAUAAAAUGCUCUGACGUCCAUUAUGCUCUAGAGUCUUUGUGGAGGCCCUUGUGGCCUGAAGUGCCUUUUACUGGUUUUGAUCCCUGCUUGAUGGAAAUAGACCAGCUGCUGUUCUCUAUGCUCUGAUAGCAUCUUAUUUGGACUGCUAUAAUAUAAAUGAGGCUGCCUACAGCUCUGAAACUAGUUAAUUGUUCAAAAUACAGCAGCCAGAUAUUAACCUUCACUGAUCAUAGGGACCACAUCAUACCAGCGUCAAAACAGGGUCCAUUACUAAGCACAAUUCAAGGUGCUGGUUAUCACCUUUAUAUCCUUAAAUGGCUUAGAACCUGGGCACUUGAAUCCAAACAUCUGGCACUCAUCCACCCUCAAUUGCUAUAACACACUAGAACAGGGACUUUUUGUUCAUAUAUUUAUGGAAUUUAUAUGCCAUCCUUCCUCCCAAAGGAGCCCAGAGUGGCAAACAAACUCUACUGAGGCCCUUCUUCAGGUUUUCCCCCUUUGAGAGAGACUCAAGGAAGAGGGUCUUUUCUGUUGUGACUCCCCAUCUGUGGAACACACUCUCUAGUGAGGUUCACCUGGUGCCCUCAUUGACAUCUUUUCAACACCAGGUAAAGACUUUUCUUUUUCCCAGCAUUUCCUGUAGGCUGAGAUGCUAUGGUUUGUAUUAGUUUGCUGCCAAAGCUUUCUGUGACUGUAUGAUGGUGAUUGUUACUUUAUUAUUUUGUUUUUGUUAUGGUAUAUUUACUUUUGUUGUUAACAGUGUUGUAAGUCGCCUGGAGACUUUCGGGUUAGAAAAUAAUAACAAAAACAAUAACAUAUUUUAAAAUCUUUUUUAAAAAUUAAAACAUCUUAAAACUUAAGUUGGCUUCAUCCUAGCUAGAUUGAUCAUUAAUAAAUGCUACCAGAAGCCCACCACUUCCACUUGAGCUUUAAAACAUUCAAGGGAGGACCAGCGGGGGUGAACAGUCACAGUUUCUGUAUUGUGAUCCUUUGUUCUGUUACAUCCCACCUCUUUUUUUGCAAAUAAAUAUCUUUUGAUUUUAAAUAUUACUUUUCAAUUAAUGUUUAACAUUUCUGUAAAUAAUGUUCAGACAACUAUUUUUGGAUGAUAUUUAACCUCAAUAACCAUAUUGCAACAAAUGUCAUUAUAUUAGAAUGUUUAUAUCAAAUAUUUCUGUGUGUAUGUAUGUAUAAUAUAAAACAUAUAUUUUGUGUGCGUAAAAGUUAUAUCCUUUUCCUAACUUAUAUUACAUAUUAUGUA
Molecule: long non-coding RNA, 2477 nt
Organism: Rhineura floridana
Lineage: Eukaryota; Metazoa; Chordata; Lepidosauria; Squamata; Rhineuridae
Exons: 3
Source: RefSeq, a predicted model, not a curated record